ACGGAAGGCAGCAGUGGGGAAUAUUGCACGAUGGGCGGAAGCCUGAUGCAGCGAUGCCGCGUGAGGGAAGAAGGUUUUCGGAUUGUAAACCUCUGUCCUCAGGGACGAUAAUGACGGUACCUGAGGAGGAAGCUCCGGCUAACUACGUGCCAGCAGCCGCGGUAAUACGUAGGGAGCGAGCGUUGUCCGGAAUUACUGGGUGUAAAGGGUGCGUAGGCGGGACGGCAAGUCAGAUGUGAAAUGUAUGGGCUCAACCCAUAACCUGCAUUUGAAACUGUUGUUCUUGAGUGAGGUAGAGGUAAGCGGAAUUCCUAGUGUAGCGGUGAAAUGCGUAGAUAUUAGGAGGAACAUCGGUGGCGAAGGCGGCUUACUGGGCCUUUACUGACGCUGAGGCACGAAAGCGUGGGGAGCAAACAGGAUUAGAUACCCUGGUA
This 434-nucleotide ribosomal RNA is filed under the name uncultured Ruminococcus sp. Its description in RNAcentral is "partial 16S ribosomal RNA". It matches the Rfam family "Bacterial small subunit ribosomal RNA", at positions 341 to 792 of the family's 1533-position model. Lineage: Bacteria; Bacillati; Bacillota; Clostridia; Eubacteriales; Oscillospiraceae. The record is from RNAcentral.